CACAACCGGAGUUCUCCGAAAAUAAAGACACAUCGCCCAGGUCAGGGCA
RNAcentral lists this non-coding RNA (49 nucleotides) under unclassified sequences. RNAcentral describes it as "RAGATH-25 RNA". It matches the Rfam family "RAGATH-25 RNA". From Rfam's summary of the family: Firmicutes. Nearby to self-cleaving ribozyme genes The record is from Rfam by way of RNAcentral.